UGACUUGAACUUUCAUAAAGUCAUAGAGCACAUCUAUCAUUAUUGGCCUACUUCUCAGAGUUGCAGGAGUUUGGGUAAUUCUGAAUAUUGUUAAAUUAAACAGGCAGAAGACAAGAAAAAAAUGUUUAUUUCAUAUCUACUAAAUUAUUAUGGCUACUUAAACAAUUCGUGUAUCAAGCAGACAAGUAGAUUGAAGCUCCUUUUUGUUGUAUUGAACAAUCUAAUCAUGUAGAUUUUCCCAUUCAAAACCAUGUAAUGACAUCAGUGGGCCUAAAGACUGGCCCAAUCACAAUGUGCCCAGGUUUCAUAUAGGACUGAGAGUCCUUGGUCAUUAAGGCCUACCAACUGGGCCAUCUUGUCGCCAGGUCCAUAUUGAAAAACAUAAGGAAUUGUAACUUUUCAGAGUUUAGUCAUUUAACAAACAACAUCACUACUAAUCAUGCCAAAAACAUUCGUCUCCUAUAUAUGAUUUCAACAAGUAGUUUACUGAAAAUGUGUCCAUAUAAAUGAUUAAUAUACAAAAUGAUUGAUCCAAACACAACUAAUUAACUUUACAAAUUAACCUAUAAACUAUGAAUCUAUGUAUAUCCACCAGUGAUUUCCUCAAUGUGGAAUGGAAAUGCAGAAAAUUGUUGUUGCUAGGUCCUAUUAACUAGGAUUCCUCAUACGUGAAAUCAAAUAUUUGAUAAUCAGAUGCGUGAACAUAACAUGUUUAGCAUGAAAACUCAUACUUCAACCAUCAAUUUUCGAAUAGGCAAAAACAUCAACAAAAUAAAUCACAUUAGUAAGCAAUGCCUAAUAGGAUCACAUGCUUUAACCUAAGCAUAUUGUUUGCAUCAGAGAUAAACAUAGAAGAAUAUUCAAACAAAUUCAACAUAAAAGAAGAUUCAAACAAAUUUGGCCAUUAAAUAUGCUAGAUCUAUAGAAUUAGGCAGUAAACAACUUUAAUUUUACUCCCGAUUUCAAUUUAAAACUACAGAGGUGUUUGAACAUACCUACACAGUAGCAAACAAGUCUCAAAAUGACCAAAUAAAGGUUGAGAACAUCUACAACUGAAAUUCAGCUACUAGUUGAUAGAGAACAACAACAAACAACCAGUAAUCAAAGCUGGAUCCACUUCGAAACCCAGAAAUGCAAGAGAGAAUACAACAAUCGAAAAAGCUACAACUUAUGAACUGUUUUGGGUGCAAAGCUAACCUAGAAUUCCACUGUCAUACUCAUUCUUUUCAGAUUGUUUUAGUUUUCAGAUCUAAUAUUGUUUUUUUGAAGUUUUUGUGAGUAAAAUCUCAAUGAAAAUGUAGAAGGAAUAUGUGUAAAAAAUAUAUAGUGUAUCUGAUCAGAGAGUCUAAAAAUCUGUGUGAGAGUCAGUGCAUUUAUAAUAGAAUUUAGGGCAACAACUAGAUUUUUCUAAUUCAUUUUCACCCUUUAAACUUUCUAUUAUUUACCCUUAGAUCCCAAAUUCUGAGUUGAUUCUAUUUUUCUUUUGCAAAGACAACCCUUUUUUCCUUUUCUUAGAAGCUUAUUUUCUAACUAACUAAGAUUUUCUAAACCAAUUCCCUACAUUUCCCUUAGCUACUUCAGCAUUUACCCCUCUUCCAGAUUUUACCUCUUCUCUUGUAUUCAAUUCUCAAUCUCAUUUAAAUCAAACUCUUAAUGGGCCUGUAAUACGGAAUGAGCUAAUUUUGAAAGACCUGGGCUUAUUCCACUAAUACAAACUCAAAAACCAGGCUUGGCCUAAACCAAAUCAAAGCCUACUGCCACUUCUUGCCUAAAUACCAUUACACAAAAGUGGCAAAUACCUAAAUGAUCCACAAAUAAAAAUACUACUCGAUUAAGCAUAAAUUAAACUCUCAAGUAAUUAAACACCACUGAAUCAUCGAGCUUAUAACAAUAAUAUCCAAUUACCCAUAUAGUAUCUAAAAACUCUUCAUAGAAAUGAAAACAUGAUAACUAAACAAGGAAUUUGCAAUUAAAACAACCACUGAACCUAAAGUGACUAAACAAUUAAAUGUGCAAUUCACAGAAAGAUACAAGGGAGAGAUAUACCUAUCGAGGUUGAACAAAUCGAUGAAAGGGAAGCCCACGAGCUGGACGAAUAGGAUGGAAUAAUUGGGGAGCAACUGACCGAUCAAUGAUGUUUCGACCGAAUUCCAAUAGCCAUGAAAUGAACCAAGACUAACAUCAAUCAAUUGCUCUCGUCAAGAGCAAUUAAUUGAUGUAGGUUUUGAGUUCAGGAGGUGGAGAAGGGGAUUGGCGUUCAGAUUGGUUGUGAGUAACAACAACCCUACUCCUCUUUGUUGAAAAUGAGGAAAUUUUAGAUCAUUUUUUCUUACCAUUCUCAUCUCCCGCCUCCGGCUUCUAUGAGAUAACAGAAAAGACCACAAAGAUUUAAUGUAUUGUCGUACAUAUUUAUAUCAUCAAUGAUAAUAAAUCACUUAACAAUAAAUGAAAUAUUUCAAGCUAUAUAUAAACUUAUAGUACAUAAAGAAAUCUUUUUCAUGGUGGAACCAACUAAAAGGCAACUAAAGGUAAUCGGAAUCUGUGUAAGAGUCAGUGUAUUUAUAACAGAAUUUUCAGGGCAAUACCUAGAUUUUUUUAAUUUAUUUCCACCCUUUAAACUUUCUGUUAUUUAUCCUUAGACCCCAAAUUCUGACUUGUUUAUAUUUUUAUUUUGCAGAGACGACCCUUUUUUUCUUUUUCUAGAAGCUUCUUUCUUAACUAACUAAGAUUCCCUAAGUCAAUUCCCUACGUUGCCCUUUACUACUACAGUAUUUACCCCUCAUCCAGAUUUUACCUCUUCUCUUACAUUCAAUUCUCAAUCUCAUUUAAAUCAAACUCAGAAUGGGCCUAUAAUAUGAAAUGGGCUAAUUUUGACAGACCUGGGCCUUGUUCCAAUAAUCCAAACUCAAAACCUGACUUGACCUAAACCAAAUCAAAGCCUAUUGCACUUCCUGCCUAAAUGCCAUUAAACAAAAGUGACAAAUACCUAAAUGAUCCACAAAUAAAAUAACUACUCGAUUAAGAAAAUUAAACUCUCAAGUAAUUAAGCACUGUUGAAUCAUCGAGCUUAUAACAAUAAUAUCCAAUUACCCACAUAGUUUCGAAAAACUCUUCAAAGAAAUGAAACAAGAUAACAAAACAAGGAAUUUGCAAUUAAAACAAACUGAACCUAAAGCGACUAAAUAGUUAAAUGCGCAAUUCACAGAAAGAUACAAGGGAGAGAUAUACCUAUCGAGGUCGAAAAAACGAUGAAAGGGAAGCCCACAAGCUGGAGGAACCUGAUGGAACAAUUGGGGAGCAACCAACCGAUCAAUGAUGUCUCGACGGAAUUCCAAUAGCCGUGAAAUGAACCAAGACUAUUAUCAAUCAAUUGCUCUCAUCAAGAGCAAUUAAUUGAUGUGGGUUUCGAGUUCAAGCGGGAGGGGGGGG
RNAcentral lists this long non-coding RNA (3429 nucleotides) under Nicotiana tabacum (common tobacco). Its description in RNAcentral is "long non-coding RNA (NTAB_LNC008635)". Lineage: Eukaryota; Viridiplantae; Streptophyta; Magnoliopsida; Solanales; Solanaceae. The record is from RNAcentral.